This 497-nucleotide ribosomal RNA is filed under the name Yarrowia lipolytica. RNAcentral describes it as "eukaryotic LSU rRNA". It matches the Rfam family "Eukaryotic large subunit ribosomal RNA", at positions 87 to 666 of the family's 3401-position model. The record is from RNAcentral. Lineage: Eukaryota; Fungi; Ascomycota; Dipodascomycetes; Dipodascales.
CGGCGAGUGAAGCGGCAAAAGCUCAAAUUUGAAACCCUCGGGAUUGUAAUUUGAAGAUUUGGCAUUGGAGAAAGCUAACCCAAGUUGCUUGGAAUAGUACGUCAUAGAGGGUGACAACCCCGUCUGGCUAACCGUUCUCCAUGUAUUGCCUUAUCAAAGAGUCGAGUUGUUUGGGAAUGCAGCUCAAAGUGGGUGGUAAACUCCAUCUAAAGCUAAAUACUGGUGAGAGACCGAUAGCGAACAAGUACUGUGAAGGAAAGGUGAAAAGAACUUUGAAAAGAGAGUGAAAUAGUAUGUGAAAUUGUUGAUAGGGAAGGAAAUGAGUGGAGAGUGGCCGAGGUUUCAGCCGCCCCUCGUGGGCGGUGUACUGCCGACGCCGAGUCAUCGAUAGCGAGACGAGGGUUACAAAUGGGAGCGCCUUCGGGCGUUCUCCCCUAACCCUCCACACUGCCACCGACGACAUAAUCCACCCAUUUCACCCGUCUUGAAACACGGAC